Molecule: long non-coding RNA, 420 nt
Organism: Mytilus trossulus (common blue mussel)
Lineage: Eukaryota; Metazoa; Mollusca; Bivalvia; Mytilida; Mytilidae
Exons: 4
Source: RefSeq, a predicted model, not a curated record
AUACUUUUUGUUGUCUUGUCGCAUGUCAACUUUUGCGUAUAAAAGACGACGAGCCCAGCUAUACCUUAUUCCAAGAUUUGGACACCUUAACACUAUAUCAUUGAAGAGAAAUUCACAAGAGUUCAAGGAUGGGAACAAAGAAUGCUCUGAUGAUUGCUGUUAUGCUUUUGGUCUUUGUUGGAAGUUUUGAUUUGGGAGAAUCGUUUUUCAACCAACAACCCCAAUGUUAUAAAAAUAGAAUUUGCUGGAAUAGAUGGGAUUGCGGUUGGAAUCCAAGAUGUGUCUGUCGACCAUUCUCUAAAAACAGUCGUGUUGGUCGUUGUUCCUGGAGAUGGUGGUAACAUCGGAAGAAAGGCAAUAUGACAACACAGUCGAUUAAUGACAUUAAGUCAUAAAAACGAUAAUAAAUAAUUAUCAUUA